RNAcentral lists this ribosomal RNA (496 nucleotides) under uncultured bacterium. Its description in RNAcentral is "partial 16S ribosomal RNA". It matches the Rfam family "Bacterial small subunit ribosomal RNA", at positions 28 to 506 of the family's 1533-position model. The record is from RNAcentral.
GAUGAACGCUGGCGGCGUGCCUAAUACAUGCAAGUCGAGCGAACAGACGAGGAGCUUGCUCCUCUGACGUUAGCGGCGGACGGGUGAGUAACACGUGGAUAACCUACCUAUAAGACUGGGAUAACUUCGGGAAACCGGAGCUAAUACCGGAUAAUAUAUUGAACCGCAUGGUUCAAUAGUGAAAGACGGUUUUGCUGUCACUUAUAGAUGGAUCCGCGCCGCAUUAGCUAGUUGGUAAGGUAACGGCUUACCAAGGCUACGAUGCGUAGACGACCUGAGGGGGGGAUCGCCAAACAAUGACCUGGGCGCGCACCCAACCCCCACCGGGGGGAAGGGGAGGGGAAUUUCCCGAAUUGGGCGAAAGCCUAGCGAGCCAACCCCGCGGGAUUGAUAAAGUUUUUCGGGUCGUAAAACUUUUUUUUUGGGAAAAAAAAAAUGUUAAAAUAACCUUGCCGUUUUUGGCGGUACCUAAUCAGAAGGCCACGGUAAACUACGU